Molecule: long non-coding RNA, 99 nt
Organism: Sander lucioperca (pikeperch)
Lineage: Eukaryota; Metazoa; Chordata; Actinopteri; Perciformes; Percidae
Exons: 3
Source: RefSeq, a predicted model, not a curated record
CCUGUCCCUUGUUAACCCUCGUUUACUUUUGUAUUUAGUCUCUGUGUGUUCCUUGUCUUGUGUUGGAUUGUUGUAUUGUUGUUUAUGUUUGUGUGGGUU